AGCAGCCGCGGUAAUUCCAGCUCCAAUAGCGUAUAUUAAAGUUGUUGCAGUUAAAAAGCUCGUAGUUGAAUUUCGGGAUCAAAGGAUCGGUCAUGCCUUGGUAUGUACUGGUUUUAUUGGUUCUCACCUUCUAAAGAACCAUAAUGUCAUUCAUUUGAUGUUAUGGGGAAUUAGGACUGUUACCUUGAAAAAUUAGAGUGUUUAAAGCAGGCUUACGCUUGAAUACAUUAGCAUGGAAUAAUGAAAUAGGACAUCAGAUUCUAUUUUGUUGGUUUCUAGGAUCGAUGUAAUGAUUAAUAGGGAUAGUUGGGGGCAUUAGUAUUCAAUUGUCAGAGGUGAAAUUCUUGGAUUUAUUGAAGACUAACUACUGCGAAAGCAUUUGCCAAGGAUGUUUUCAUUAAUCAAGAACGAAAGUUAGGGGAUCGAAGACGAUCAGAUACCGUCGUAGUCUUAACCAUAAACUAUGCCGACUAGGGAUCGGAUGAUGUUAAUUUAUAAUGACUCAUUCGG
Molecule: unclassified non-coding RNA, 510 nt
Filed under: uncultured Glomus
Lineage: Eukaryota; Fungi; Glomeromycota; Glomeromycetes; Glomerales; Glomeraceae
Description: SSU rRNA
Rfam family: Eukaryotic small subunit ribosomal RNA
Source: RNAcentral